This 492-nucleotide ribosomal RNA is filed under the name uncultured bacterium. Its description in RNAcentral is "partial 16S ribosomal RNA". It matches the Rfam family "Bacterial small subunit ribosomal RNA", at positions 29 to 507 of the family's 1533-position model. The record is from RNAcentral.
AGUGAACGCUGGCGGUAGGCCUAACACAUGCAAGUCGAACGGCAGCACAGUAAGAGCUUGCUCUUACGGGUGGCGAGUGGCGGACGGGUGAGGAAUACAUCGGAAUCUACUUUUUCGUGGGGGAUAACGUAGGGAAACUUACGCUAAUAUCGGAUACGACCUACGGGUGAAAGCAGGGGAUCUUCGGACCUUGUGGGAUUGAAUGAGCCGAUGUCGGAUUAGCUAGUUGGCGGGGUAAAGGCCAAGCAAGGCGACGGUCGGUAGCUGGUCUGAGAGGGUGAUAAGCCACAUUGGAACGGAGACAGGCUCCAGACUCCUAGGGGAGGAACCAGUGGGGAAUAUUGGGCAAUGGGGGCAAGCCUGAUCCAGCCAUACGGCGUGGGUGAAGACGGCGUUCGGGUUGUAAAGCCCUUUUGUUGGGAAAGAAAAGCAGCAGGUUAAUACCCCGCUGUUCUGACGGUACCCAGAGAAUAAGCACCGGCUAACUUCGUG